UGUUUUAUUCUAGGACUUACUCCUUUCAUCAGUUUGUAUGUCCAUACAAGUAUACUGACUCGGUGUCUUGGGUUAAAUUCUCCCAUUAAGGCCAGUUGGUGUCCCAGUCAAGUUUUGAAAGCCCCGCCCUCCUGGGCCUGUUCCCUAAUCUUCAACACAAGGAGCGGCUCUGGCCUUCUGAUCGUCAAAGAUAAAGCCCUGAGCACCUGCACUCCCGCGUGGCGGUUUUGGGGCUCCGUCAGGGUCCCCCUGGAGAUUCUGCCUUUCCCGGCCGCGGUGUCUUCAAAUUCCAAGAUUCCAGAGUCGUCCGUUCUACACUGGACAGACUCGGCAAAGGGAAAGCACCUCUGUGAGCGAAGGGGUCUCGGAUCGGCCUCCGCGGACCACCCGGGUCGGCGGCGCUCCAAGAUUGGGCUGGUGGAGGACCCGCCCGGAAGUGUCGAGCGGACCGCCCCGGAAGUGCCGGGACUUCCGGCCCGCGGGCGGCGGUGGCAGCGAUUACACUGCUCGGGCUCACCUGCAGACGCGGGUCCCACGUCCGAGGGAAGCACGCGGGAGUCUGGCCGGCCGCCCCUCCGGCCGCGGACCCGACGCCCCAGUGCGGCCCGGUCUUUCCCACGGCCUCCCGAGAUUUAUGAAGCCGCCGUGACCACGUGCACCCCUGGUAGCUGUGGUGUAGCCCCCAGCCGACCCUCGGCCCGCCUUUCCGAACAGAUGGGGAAACUGCGGAGGACUGGAAAAUACGCACUUGGGGCAGGCUUCCUCUUCCACCCGGGUGCCCGGGACGUUUCCUGGUCCCAGCUCUUGCACAGUCAAGAAGUAAUCUAGCAAGAAAUAUCAGCCCUGGGAGCCAAGGGAGGGAGAAUCACUGUCUCCAACUCCUACCCAGGAAUGCACCAUUAAAAUCUCAACUAUAGGAACCCUUAAUCCCACGAGAGGGUUGUAAGUAUUAAACUUUGACAUUCUGUAGUUUUCUGAAGAUUCUACAAUAAGGCACCUGAGAAGACUCUUUUUUUUAAGUUAAUAUAACAUAUCAAUGUAGGUGUGCUGUUAUGAACCCUCAGCAGAAUCUGCUUCAAAGUGAGGGUAGAACAAGAGGGCACCCGGCUCACCUGCCAUUGCCACAGUAUGUUAUUGAUAAAGAAUUCUGUCUUUGCUGCCUGUUGUCUGAGACAAGCUGUAUUCUGUUUUUUUAUGUGUCUUUGACUCUGCUUAAGGUGGUUUUGUUAUUUUACCUUGCAGGAAUUUUGAUUCUUUGUAUUGAUUUCAAAUUUAUCAAUCUUUUCAUUUAUAGCCUCUGGAUUUGGGCUUAUAAUUAGAAAGGCCUUCCUACUCUGAGGUUAUUAAAGACUUCUCCCACAUUUUCCUCUGGUACGUUUAUAGUUUUCAUUUAUAACAUUUGAAACUUUGAUUUAGGGGCGCCCAGGUGGCUCAGUUGUUUGAGCAUCCGACUUCGGCUCAGGUCAUGAUCUCGCAGUCUUUGAGUUCAAGCCCCACGUUGGGCUCUGUGCUGACAGCUCAGAGCCUGGAACCUGCUUCGGAUUCUGUGUCUCCCUCUCUCUCUCUGCCCCUCCCCCGUUUAUGCUUGGUCUCUCUCUCUCUCUCUCUCUCUCUCUCUCUCUCUCUCUCUCUCUGUCAAAAAUAAAUACACAUUAAAAAAAUUUAAAAAAAUGUUU
Molecule: long non-coding RNA, 1676 nt
Filed under: Felis catus (domestic cat)
Lineage: Eukaryota; Metazoa; Chordata; Mammalia; Carnivora; Felidae
Description: lncRNA (ENSFCAG00000050875.1)
Source: RNAcentral